This 468-nucleotide ribosomal RNA is filed under the name uncultured bacterium. RNAcentral describes it as "partial 16S ribosomal RNA". It matches the Rfam family "Bacterial small subunit ribosomal RNA", at positions 28 to 507 of the family's 1533-position model. The record is from RNAcentral.
GAUGAACGCUGGCGGCGUGCCUAACACAUGCAAGUCGAACGAAAAGGUCCUGAUCUUGUUGGGUGCUCGAGUGGCGAACGGGUGAGUAUCACAUGAGUAACCUGCCCUUGACUUUGGGGUAACUUCAGGAAACUCGGGCUAAUACCGGAUAUGAGCUCCUGCAGCAUGGUGGGGGUUGGAAAGAGUCGGCGGUAGGGGAUGGAAUCGCGGGUUAUCAGCUUGCUUGUGUGGUAGGGGUGGACCAAGGCUUCGACGGAUAGGCUGCCUGAGCGGGUGAACGGGCACAUUGGGACUGAGAGACGGCGCAGACUGCUACGGGCCGCAGCAGUGGGGAAUCUUGCGCAAUGGGCGGAAGCCUGAUGCAGCAGCGCCGCGAGCGGGAUGACGGGCUACGGGUUGUAAACCGCUGUCGACGGUGACGAAGCGAGAGUGACGGUAAUGGGUAAAGAAGCAACGGCUAACUACGUG